AGUGAACGCUGGCGGUAGGCCUAACACAUGCAAGUCGAACGGCAGCACAGUAAGAGCUUGCUCUUACGUGUGUCGAGUGUCGGACGGGUGAGUAAUACAUCGGAAUCUACUUUUUCGUGGGUGAUAACGUAGGGAAACUUACUCUAAUACCGCAUACGACCUACUGGUGAAAGCAGGGGAUCUUCUGACCUUGCGCGAUUGAAUGAGCCGAUGUCGGAUUAGCUAGUUGGCGGGGUAAAGGCCCACCAAGGCGACGAUCCGUAGCUGGUCUGAGAGGAUGAUCAGACAGACUGGAACAGAGAAACGGUACAGACUCCGACGGGAGGCAGCAGUGGGGAAUAUUGGACAAUGGGCGAAAGGCUGAUCCAGCCAAACCGCGUGGGGGAAGAAGGACUUCGGGUUGGAAAGCGCUGUUGCUGGGAAAGAAAAGAAGCAGGUUAAUACCCCGCUGUUCUGACGGUACCCAAAGAAUAAGCACCGGCUAACUUCGUG
Molecule: ribosomal RNA, 492 nt
Filed under: uncultured bacterium
Lineage: Bacteria
Description: partial 16S ribosomal RNA
Rfam family: Bacterial small subunit ribosomal RNA
Source: RNAcentral